RNAcentral lists this ribosomal RNA (464 nucleotides) under uncultured bacterium. Its description in RNAcentral is "bacterial SSU rRNA". It matches the Rfam family "Bacterial small subunit ribosomal RNA", at positions 28 to 507 of the family's 1533-position model. The record is from RNAcentral.
GAUGAACGCUGGCGGCGUGCUUAACACAUGCAAGUCGAGCGAUGAAGUUUCCUUCGGGAGACGGAUUAGCGGCGGACGGGUGAGUAACACGUGGGUAACCUGCCUCAUAGAGUGGAAUAGCCUUCCGAAAGGAAGAUUAAUACCGCAUAAUGUUGAAAGAUGGCAUCAUCAUUCAACCAAAGGAGCAAUCCGCUAUGAGAUGGACCCGCGGCGCAUUAGCUAGUUGGUGGGGUAACGGCCUACCAAGGCGACGAUGCGUAGCCGACCUGAGAGGGUGAUCGGCCACAUUGGGACUGAGACACGGCCCAGACUCCUACGGGAGGCAGCAGUGGGGAAUAUUGCACAAUGGGGGAAACCCUGAUGCAGCAACGCCGCGUGAGUGAUGAAGGUUUUCGGAUCGUAAAGCUCUGCCUUUGGGGAAGAUAAUGACGGUACCCAAGGAGGAAGCCCCGGCUAACUACGUG